UCAUCCUGGUGGGACGCGGCAUACUCAAAUCCUCGGUCUCUUCCCACGGUCUCUCUUCAGUCGUCAGCUGCACGGCGUUACCGCCGACAUUCGCCACGGCCAUCACGAAAUCGCGCCUCGCCUGCUGCAGGUCCUCCAACUUGCUCUGCACCGCGGCAGCCUCCGACGUAUCUUGCUCGUCAAGAGUCUCGCUGCGAAACGACACUCGUCAUCAACAAGCCGUUAAAUGAUGACAACAUGAAAAAGACAUUGACAUAUUAUUACACAAUUAUCGGCAAUCAUACCUCCCAGAUUGAGAUACUUUUCAUUCUCCGAGCAAAGUUCCAACAAGAACGGCGGCACCUUCUGCUUCGCCUCCAUCAACAGAUGCUUGAGGUCAAGCAACACAGACUCGUCGUUCGCCUUAUUGAUAAAAGUCGUCGCGAUGCCGGUACGCCCGGAGCGACCGGUACGUCCUAUCCUGUGAACUGCAUCGAAAGAGGACUCAUUCCUUUGGUACGACACACUGAGAAUACACGUAUAAUCAAAAUAAAAGAAAAUGAUGGUAAAUUACCGUAAUUCUCCACGUCAUCCGGCAUAUCGUAAUUAAUCACGUGUUGCACAUCAGCAAAAUCAAGACCUUUGGACGCAACGUCCGUCGCAACCAGCACGUCCUUCCGACCUCCGCGAAAUGCCUCGACGGAGCGUGAUCUCUCUUCCUGAUCUGUAGCACAGAAGUAACAGCCCUCGAAUAUCCCACGAUACUCGUGAAUAGCAUCCACAUCGCGCUUCUUCUCCGCGAAUAUCAACACCGGUGGCGCGGUCUUUUGGAGACACUCCAGGAGAUAAACAAUUUUAGCCUCCUGCUUGACGUACUCGACUUCCUGUAUCACGUUCAUCGAAGCGGCGCCG
Long non-coding RNA from Harpegnathos saltator (Jerdon's jumping ant), 891 nucleotides. RefSeq lists it as uncharacterized. The transcript is spliced from 5 exons. Lineage: Eukaryota; Metazoa; Arthropoda; Insecta; Hymenoptera; Formicidae. The record is from RefSeq and is a predicted model, not a curated record.